RNAcentral lists this ribosomal RNA (492 nucleotides) under uncultured bacterium. Its description in RNAcentral is "partial 16S ribosomal RNA". It matches the Rfam family "Bacterial small subunit ribosomal RNA", at positions 29 to 507 of the family's 1533-position model. The record is from RNAcentral.
AGUGAACGCUGGCGGUAGGCCUAACACAUGCAAGUCGAACGGCAGCACAGUAAGAGCUUGCUCUUACGGGUGGCGAGUGGCGGACGGGUGAGGAAUACAUCGGAAUCUACUUUUUCGUGGGGGAUAACGUAGGGAAACUUACGCUAAUACCGCAUACGACCUACGGGUGAAAGCAGGGGAUCUUCGGACCUUGCGCGAUUGAAUGAGCCGAUGUCGGAUUAGCUAGUUGGCGGGGUAAAGGCCCACCAAGGCGACGAUCCGUAGCUGGUCUGAGAGGAUGACCAGCCACACUGAAACUGAGACACGGUCAAGACUCCUACGGGAGGAAGCGGGGGGGAAUUUUGGACAAUGGGCGCAAGCCUGAUCCAGCCAUACCGCGUGGGUGAAGAAGGCUUUGGGGUUGUAAAGCCUUUUUGUGGGGAAAGAAAAGCAGCAGGUUAAUACCCCGCUGUUCUGACGUUACCCAAAGAAUAAGCACCGGCUAACUUCGGG